Long non-coding RNA from Strigops habroptila (Kakapo), 526 nucleotides. RefSeq lists it as uncharacterized. NCBI's taxonomy places the organism in Eukaryota, Metazoa, Chordata, Aves, Psittaciformes, Psittacidae. The record is from RefSeq and is a predicted model, not a curated record. The transcript is spliced from 3 exons.
GGAAUGGAGGAAAUCUUAAAUUUGAGGAAAACCAAAGUAAUUAAGUAUGAAAAGCUGAACAAUUUUUAUUGUUCAUCAUGCUGUUCUGAGUGGGCUGUUGUACUGGUUGUACUGAUGUUAGAGCACUUGAUUGCUUUCAUCUGAACCUCUUUAAGUCAGACAAAGUAGAAGCUAUUUUUCAAGAUAUAAAAAACCCCCAUGUUUUUCGGUUGAGCUGAUAUAGCUCUAAACUGAUCCUUGGUGAAAGUGAGUGCUUAGUUUUUGUGAACUCAUGUAGACCUUUAUAAACACACUGAUGUGCUUGUCACGCAGUUGCCUAAAUACUGUAGUUUUAUAAAAUAAUUACUUUCAUUUUUGUUUUAAUAUGCCUUUACAUGUUUUAUUCUGAACCAUGUUUUAAAUCUGUAGACAUCAAAAAUACUUGCAACAAAAAUAGACUGGUGGUUUUGGUCUUUUAUUUAAAUUUUCUUCAGAUCUAAUUGGAACACUAAUGAGAAGGCUUCCAAGAACAUACUGCACAAGAAAU